This 88-nucleotide transfer RNA is filed under the name Coxiellaceae bacterium. RNAcentral describes it as "tRNA-Leu". It matches the Rfam family "tRNA". Rfam says of the family: Transfer RNA (tRNA) molecules are approximately 80 nucleotides in length. Their secondary structure includes four short double-helical elements and three loops (D, anti-codon, and T loops). Further hydrogen bonds mediate the characteristic L-shaped molecular structure. tRNAs have two regions of fundamental functional importance: the anti-codon, which is responsible for specific mRNA codon recognition, and the 3' end, to which the tRNAs corresponding amino acid is attached (by aminoacyl-tRNA synthetases). tRNAs cope with the degeneracy of the genetic code in two manners: having more than one tRNA (with a specific anti-codon) for a particular amino acid; and 'wobble' base-pairing, i.e. permitting non-standard base-pairing at the 3rd anti-codon position. Lineage: Bacteria; Pseudomonadati; Pseudomonadota; Gammaproteobacteria; Legionellales; Coxiellaceae. The record is from RNAcentral.
GCCCGGGUGGCGAAACUGGUAGACGCAAGGGACUUAAAAUCCCUCGGUAGGUAACACCUCCGUGCCGGUUCGACUCCGGCCCCGGGCA